This 1154-nucleotide ribosomal RNA is filed under the name Kumanoa louisianae. Its description in RNAcentral is "eukaryotic LSU rRNA". It matches the Rfam family "Eukaryotic large subunit ribosomal RNA", at positions 36 to 1265 of the family's 3401-position model. The record is from RNAcentral. Lineage: Eukaryota; Rhodophyta; Florideophyceae; Batrachospermales; Batrachospermaceae.
AAGCAUAUAACUAAGCGGAGGAAAAGAAACUAACAAGGAUUCCCUCAGUAGCGGCGAGCGAAGCGGGAACAGCCCAGGAUGAAAAUCUCUUCGGAGAGUUGUAGUCUGAGCGGCCUUGGGCGGUCAGUGUGGGUAAGUCGUCUGGAAUGACGUACCGCGGAGGGUGAGAGUCCCGUCCAGCCCACACAGGACCUGCCCGCACGAGGUCGCUUCAACCGAGUCGGGUAGCUUGGGAAUGCUGCUCUAAAUGGUGGUAAAUCUCAUCAAAGGCUAAAUAUCGGUGGGAGACCGAUAGCGAACAAGUACCGUGAGGGAAAGAUGGAAAGAACUUUGAAAAGAGAGUGAAAAGCGCUUGAAACCGUCACGAGGGAAGCGCAUUGCGUCAGUGGUGGCGCGCGCGGUUCAGCCCGGCCUCGCGCCGGGUGCACUCUGCGCGCGUCGUGCGUGUGUGGCUGGGCGGCGUGCGAAAGGCAAUUUGUUUUGGCACGACGCCUGGUGAGGGCUCCCCCGCACGGGGUGAGGACACACGCAAAAGGACGCGAUACGACCCGUCUUGAAACACGGACCAAGGAGUCUAGCACGGCUGCGAGUCGAAGGGUGAUCUUGUAAGAAACCCAGAGGGCGCAGUGAAAGCGAAAGAAAGCACAUUGGGGAGGCGUUGCGGUUUUACCAAAAUGUCCUACCUCGAGCAGCUGUGCUGGGACCCGAAAGAUGGUGAACUAUGCCGGAGUAGGGCAAAGCCAGAGGAAACUCUGGUGGAGGCUCGUAGCGAUGCUGACGUGCAAAUCGCUCGUCGAACUUGGGUAUAGGGGCGAAAGACUAAUCGAACCAUCUAGUAGCUGGUUCCCUCCGAAGUUUCUCUCAGGAUAGCGGGCCGACUUUUACAUGUUGUUCUGUGCGGUAAAGCGAAUGAUUAGUGCAUUUGGGGGCCGAAGGUCUUCGGGCGAUUCUCAAACUUUAAAUGCGCAGGGGGGCGGCUGCUUGAAUGAGCCCGCUCUUGUAAAAACGUCGGCUCCGUGGGCCACUUUUGGUAAGCAGAACUGGCGAUAAGGGAUGAACCUUAAGCGCGGUUAAGGCGCCGCAUUGCCCGCUUAUAGACCCCACAAAAGGUGUUGAUUCAUCCAGACAGCAGGACGGUGGCCAUGGAAGUCGGA